Long non-coding RNA from Papaver somniferum (opium poppy), 644 nucleotides. RefSeq lists it as uncharacterized. Lineage: Eukaryota; Viridiplantae; Streptophyta; Magnoliopsida; Ranunculales; Papaveraceae. The transcript has 4 exons. The record is from RefSeq and is a predicted model, not a curated record.
UCUCAUUUUCUUCUCCCCCGUAAUGAAAAACUGAACCGUCCAUAACAACUGAACCCUCGUCCUCCUUCUCCUUUCUCCACCUCACUAAAUAACUAGGAUUUCAGUUCCAUUUUCUCGAUCGAAGAAGGAAAACAGAAAACUGGGGUAUCAGUUUCCAGUUUUCCACUAAAAUUGGGGUAUUUUGAGUUUGGGGUGAAGGAAAAAAACAUAAGAGGAGAUCUUUUUUCUAAAGAAUUUGGCGGCAUUCAGGGCAGACCUGGAGAUCACUAUCGCGGGUAUAAUAUGGGUGCAGGGUGAUAUUGCAAAUCUAUUGAAGGGAUUGACUAGUUGUGAGGAGUGUUACUCAAGAUCACUAUGCUUUCAACACUAAGAAAUUAGAGUGAGAUAGAUCUGCUGUGGUGUAGACUAGCAAAGCUUUUCUUCUUGGAUUAAGUGGGCGUGCUCCAAAUUAAUCGACUCGAUUAUCUUCACGUAUGUUGGCACGCAUGGUUGGGGACAUUUUCUUUGUAAAUUAACUGUUGAGUCAAGUUCGCUAAAGGAUGAUGCAUUUUUCUUAACAAAAGUUGUAUUAAAUAUUUUGAUAUGUAUAAUGCGAGUUUAGGUUGUUAAUGUAAAGGUGAAUCUAUAUUUUAAAUGAAACUAAU